CAGCGUUCUUUUGCCUCAAUGUGAGAAAGCAAUUUGCAUCCAGCCAGCAGGAUUAAGACAGAUGGAAGCAGCCUGCUUUCUCGUCUCAGAAACCCCUCUCAUCUUGCGGAGGCUGCUGUGCGGAAGGCGGAGGGAGCGGUUUAACGUGGCCUCUGCGGGCUGAGUUUCAGAUCUGUGGGUCAGCUGCCUUAGAGACGCCGAAGGAAGAAACUGAGGCUCAGAGAGCUUAAGUAAUUUGCCCAACGUCGCCUAGCAGCACAAAAGCAAAUCAUGCUUCUAAAAAAAAAGAAAUUGGAACCUUACAGCAACUUGGAAAAUGGGCGUCCUCCGUAACCUGCUAUUCCAAGUGGGGUCCUGGCUUGGCGUCACCUGGGAACGUGUCAGAAAUGCAGAGUCUCAGGCCUUCCCGCCCUGCCCGGCUGAAUUGGAAUCUGCGUUUCACAGGAUCCCACUGACUCACAGGCACUGUAAGUGUGAAGAGCUAGUGCAACCCUCCUCCUCUCCCACCCCCGUGAAGACCACAAGUGUCCCCAGUUUGUGUGCAUUUGAGAGCCUUUUAAAAAGCACACUCUUCUAACCUCUCAGUAAUUACCUGCAAUUUUGUAGCCGCAUCUGAAACCAAAAUCCUCUUCAAAGCCAUUCAGCAGGGAGCUAACAAAACAUCAUCAUCUUGUCUGUCUGCUCCCACUCUGCCCCCCUCCAACCUGUCACCCCCCCAGUUGCCACAGAGAUCUUUUAAAAAAAAAAAAAAGAUAAAUAAAUCAGCUCAUGUCGCUCUCCUGCUUAGAAUCCUGCGGUGGCUUUCCAUUGCUCUGGGAACAGCCCGGCAUCCUCGCCACCGCCUGUCUCCAGCGCCCUUCCUCCUGCUCCUCACUCCUGACACACUGAUCUUCUCUCUGGGUCUUUGCCAUCUCUGCUCCUGUGCCCGAUGCCCUUUCUUCCUCUUUCCCUGGAUGGUUCCUUUUCAUCCUUCAUGUCUCAACUUAAAUGUCACCUCCUCAGAGGUGCGAGAGGAAAUGCCCACCUUGGGACUAGCACACCCUUGCCUGCCAGUGCUCUCUGCCACAGCGGCUAUGGUCAGGACUGUCUCCCCAUAGAUGUGUGAGUCCCAUGGGAGCGGGGACCUCCUGCCUCACUCAGUCACUCUCCUUUGUAUGCAGUACUUGGCAAAUGGCCUGCACACGGUAGGUUAAUACUCAAUA
RNAcentral lists this long non-coding RNA (1202 nucleotides) under Equus asinus (donkey). RNAcentral describes it as "lncRNA (ENSEASG00005028789.1)". The record is from RNAcentral. Lineage: Eukaryota; Metazoa; Chordata; Mammalia; Perissodactyla; Equidae.